AGUCCCUUAGUGUAGUGGUCCAUCAUACGAGACUCUGGAUCUCGUGACCCUGGUUCGAAUCCGGGAGGGACUACCAACCC
RNAcentral lists this transfer RNA (80 nucleotides) under uncultured marine group II/III euryarchaeote KM3_82_C12. Its description in RNAcentral is "tRNA-Gln". It matches the Rfam family "tRNA". From Rfam's summary of the family: Transfer RNA (tRNA) molecules are approximately 80 nucleotides in length. The record is from RNAcentral. Lineage: Archaea; Methanobacteriati; Methanobacteriota. RNAcentral also lists the same sequence under 1 other name.